CUGGACAAUCCUGCUGCUUUGGAGCUCCUAAGUUAAACAAGGUCAGACCUGGUUAGUUCUCGGAUGGAGUGACCUCCAAGGAAAACACAGGUGUUAACCUGC
RNAcentral lists this ribosomal RNA (102 nucleotides) under Cyanistes caeruleus (blue tit). Lineage: Eukaryota; Metazoa; Chordata; Aves; Passeriformes; Paridae. The record is from RNAcentral.